Molecule: long non-coding RNA, 454 nt
Organism: Aplysia californica (California sea hare)
Lineage: Eukaryota; Metazoa; Mollusca; Gastropoda; Aplysiida; Aplysiidae
Exons: 2
Source: RefSeq, a predicted model, not a curated record
AUAUUUUCUACAUCAUUGUGUGUGUUGAGGAACAGAAGUGUGCUUACAUGCUUCUCUUCUAGGCCUAUUUAUUGCUUUCAUCAUGUGUGGUUAUGACUCUGUUGGACUGUGACUGACACCUUCAAAAUAAACUGAAGGAAUAAGAACAACAAUGGGAAGAAAAUGCUCAGUUGGUGGAUGCAAAACUGGCUAUGACAGUCAGAAAGGUGCAGAAAAAGUGACCUUGUAUGGAUUUCCUUCGGAUGAAACAGAAUGUCGGGCAUGAACUGCUAGCUUACCAAACAUUUUAUCCUAUGAAAAGGUGUCAAAACAUAUCAGUGUGUGCCCUCCAUUUCCGUAAAACUCUAACUCAACUCAAGUCAACUUUCUGUCUUUCCAUCGCUUUUGUCUGUCUAGAAUAAUUUUUUACAUGUCCGUUAGUUUGAACACAAACACAGGGAAGCUAAACCAUUGA